Molecule: ribosomal RNA, 1431 nt
Filed under: uncultured organism
Description: 16S ribosomal RNA
Rfam family: Bacterial small subunit ribosomal RNA
Source: RNAcentral
CAGGCUUAACACAUGCAAGUCGAGGGGCAGCAUUUCAGUUUGCUUGCAAACUGGAGAUGGCGACCGGCGCACGGGUGAGUAACACGUAUCCAACCUGCCGAUAACUCGGGGAUAGCCUUUCGAAAGAAAGAUUAAUACCCGAUGGUAUAAUCAGACCGCAUGGUCUUGUUAUUAAAGAAUUUCGGUUAUCGAUGGGGAUGCGUUCCAUUAGGCAGUUGGUGAGGUAACGGCUCACCAAACCUUCGAUGGAUAGGGGUUCUGAGAGGAAGGUCCCCCACAUUGGAACUGAGACACGGUCCAAACUCCUACGGGAGGCAGCAGUGAGGAAUAUUGGUCAAUGGGCGCAGGCCUGAACCAGCCAAGUAGCGUGAAGGAUGACUGCCCUAUGGGUUGUAAACUUCUUUUAUAUGGGAAUAAAGUUUUCCACGUGUGGAAUUUUGUAUGUACCAUAUGAAUAAGGAUCGGCUAACUCCGUGCCAGCAGCCGCGGUAAUACGGAGGAUCCGAGCGUUAUCCGGAUUUAUUGGGUUUAAAGGGAGCGUAGGUGGACAGUUAAGUCAGUUGUGAAAGUUUGCGGCUCAACCGUAAAAUUGCAGUUGAUACUGGCUGUCUUGAGUACAGUAGAGGUGGGCGGAAUUCGUGGUGUAGCGGUGAAAUGCUUAGAUAUCACGAAGAACUCCGAUUGCGAAGGCAGCUCACUGGACUGCAACUGACACUGAUGCUCGAAAGUGUGGGUAUCAAACAGGAUUAGAUACCCUGGUAGUCCACACAGUAAACGAUGAAUACUCGCUGUUUGCGAUAUACAGUAAGCGGCCAAGCGAAAGCAUUAAGUAUUCCACCUGGGGAGUACGCCGGCAACGGUGAAACUCAAAGGAAUUGACGGGGGCCCGCACAAGCGGAGGAACAUGUGGUUUAAUUCGAUGAUACGCGAGGAACCUUACCCGGGCUUAAAUUGCAUUUGAAUAUAUUGGAAACAGUAUAGCCGUAAGGCAAAUGUGAAGGUGCUGCAUGGUUGUCGUCAGCUCGUGCCGUGAGGUGUCGGCUUAAGUGCCAUAACGAGCGCAACCCUUAUCUUUAGUUACUAACAGGUCAUGCUGAGGACUCUAGAGAGACUGCCGUCGUAAGAUGUGAGGAAGGUGGGGAUGACGUCAAAUCAGCACGGCCCUUACGUCCGGGGCUACACACGUGUUACAAUGGGGGGUACAGAAGGCAGCUACCUGGUGACAGGAUGCUAAUCCCAAAAGCCUCUCUCAGUUCGGAUCGAAGUCUGCAACCCGACUUCGUGAAGCUGGAUUCGCUAGUAAUCGCGCAUCAGCCAUGGCGCGGUGAAUACGUUCCCGGGCCUUGUACACACCGCCCGUCAAGCCAUGAAAGCCGGGGGUACCUGAAGUACGUAACCGCAAGGAGCGUCCUAGGGUAAAACUGGUAAUUG